Raphanus sativus (radish) is the source of this 750-nucleotide long non-coding RNA. RefSeq lists it as uncharacterized. The record is from RefSeq and is a predicted model, not a curated record. Lineage: Eukaryota; Viridiplantae; Streptophyta; Magnoliopsida; Brassicales; Brassicaceae. The transcript is spliced from 2 exons.
GGUCCACAUCCUAGUAGUAGAUAAUGACAACUUAAAUAAGAAGUUAAUCUACUUAACAUAACAUGAUAAGGUUUAUCUGAGAUAAUACACUUAUCCUAAUAACUCCUAGACUCGUAUGACUCGUUGACUCGUGACUCGACCUGUCACAUUUUCUCUGAUUUCUUCGCGUUUCAGAUGAGGUUCUGGUGUGAUAUCCUCUAUGAGAGAUCCAGCUCUGGUGGCACGCAUGUUAAUACGGUGAUUGAUCCCUGUUUGAGGACGUCAAAGAAAGUGUUCAGAAACCUUUUGUUAGUUAUCUUUUUUUUUAAUUACCAAGAGGGUCGUGGCUUGUCUUCUGAUAGAAAAAUAGGUCUUGGGUGGUUCACUUUCUUGGGAUGGUGAUUCCUAUUUGUUUGUUUUGUUUCUGGUCUGGAUCAUCAUUCCACCGCCCUGUAAUUGGAGAGAAUUGUAGUAUCGCGGACUUUGAGGUGGCGAUAACUGUGUAGCUUGCCGCAUCUAGGGUUAGAGUCAUUUUUACAGGAUGGCAUGUUGGAGCGGCGGGACUCCUUUGAAGACGGCUUCAUUCAUGGAGACUGGUGACAGACCCGGAGAUGGAUUUUGGACAUUCCGGUUCGGAAAAGUCUCGACUUUCUCAAUUUGCUUGCCGUAUGUGUUUAACAGAGGAAGAAUAUUCGAAAUCAUUGUCUUUUUCCCUCAACCUUGUUCUUUGUCUAUUGUUGUUCUAUUGCUUGUGUUCUAGUCAAAUCGUAA